CCGGCUGCAGCGGCCCCGCGCGGUGUGUCCAGGCCGCGGCGGCCCCGGCCCAGGGGACAGACGAGCUGCGCGGCCCAGAAGCGGGCAGCGCACGGAAUGAUCAACUUUUGCCCCCAAUGUGGCCAGAAAGUAGAGACAGCAUUUCAUUUCUGCCCUGUCUGUGGGAAUAAGCUGCCUAAAGAAGAUGAUGAGGAACCAAUGCAACUCACUCCAGAUGUAUCUUUGUCCUCUCUGAAAGCCCUGAGGCAGAAUGAGCCAGUUCCAGAAACAAGAAAGACAGUGGAGUGGAUAUCUUCUGAGAAAAUACCAGCUUCCACUUCGACUGAAGAGGAGGUUUGGAGCCCACAGGCUGCUUCCCCAAGUACCAAGGUGACAUCCAAGGCAAAGUUCAGUCCCCGAUCUCCCCGGCGGCUCAAAUCCACCUCCGUGACACCUCUCCCAGAAGGCAAGAUUCUGACCGACCAGAAUAGCAAGCAGUGGAAACUGGGGAAGCUUCUGAACCAGAGCGUGUGUGGGCUGAUGUACGAAGCACAAUCAGCGUCUGGAGCCUGCCCUCAAAAGCAAAGAUACUUUCUCAAACUUGACGCCAAAGAUGGCAGGAUCUACAAUGAGCAGAUCUUCCUGCAGCGAGCAGCAAAGAAAAUCACAGUGGAUAAGUGGAAGAGGAUGCACUCGGUGCCCUUGCUGGGGAUUCCAAAUUGCAUUGGCUUUGGACUCCAUGAGAGUAACUACAGGUUUCUGGUGUUCCCUGAGUUAGGGCGAACUGUUCAGUCAAUCCUGGGCGAUGGCACAAACCUACUGACGGAGAAACCGGUUUUCCAGAUCGCCAUCAGGGUGCUAGACUCUCUGGAAUACAUCCAUGGAAACGAGUAUGUGCAUGGGGACGUCACAGCAGAGAACAUCUAUGUGAACCCAGACGACCUCGCAGAGGUCACCCUGGCGGGUUACUGCUUUGCAUUCCGAUACUGCCCGGGAGGAAAGCACGUGGCUCAGUGUCAAGGCAGCAGGACUCCUCACGAGGGCACCAUUGAGUUCAUCAGCCUGGAUGGGCACAGGGGAGCUGGACCAUCUCGCCGGAGUGACCUACAGUCUCUGGGCUACUGCAUGGUGAAGUGGCUGUGUGGCUUCCUGCCCUGGACUGAUGACCUGGCUGAUGUGCACAAGGUCAUGGAGCAGAAAGAGAGGUACCAAAUGGAUGUGGUCGGGCUUCUGCGACAGUGCUUCGGCCGAAAACCGAUUCCAGAUGCUCUGCACAACUACCUGCAGCAAGCAAUGGCCUUGGCCUUUGAAGAGGAGCCAGACUACGAGGCACUGCGAAAGCUCUUGGGGAAACCGCUGGAGAUGAAGAGAGCUUCAGCUUAUGACUCAGUGGACCUCAAGGUGGUGCCUUAGGUAAGGCGUUUCCUAGGGGGGUAGCAGGUUGGGGGACGCACAGUCAUGCCCCCACCGCAGGAAUAAUGGAAUAUGGUACUUCAGCUGGCAGUGGUGACCAUGGCCUUGUUAUCUGAUCUUCCCUCCGCACAUGAGUCUAACAUGGUAAGCAGGGAGGAGGCUUCUCUCUGCGCUGGGUGUGAAGAUCUAGAAGGAGGGCUGAAGGGACUCUGACUGCUCCAGUGGGGCUUGUGUUAACCCUUAGAGCACCAAGGAUGCUCAUUUUCCGUUCCUCAGCCUUCCCUCCCACCUCUUUGUGAUCAGUUUCCUUCCCAUCUCCAGUUGUGUUGAGAAUGGGCGCUGGGUCUUGUGGAGAACAUGCAUGUGGGUUCAAGGAAAAUUUUUGGCAGCAGGGAAUAGUGCUUCCUGUCAGGAAGAGUGAUGUCCCACCCUGCUUCCUCACAGCUGGGGAGCCUCACAUGCUGGCCUCCGGUCUCUCUCCCUAACACUGUUCUCAUUUAUCGUCAUCAGGCAACUCAGCAGUUCUGAAAUGGUUAAGAUGUCCUGAGGGUCACUUCUCAGUACAAGGGGAGCUGGUUGGCUGGCUUGCUGUUCCCAAAGGCUGGAGCAAGAUCUCAAGAAACUGACAAACUGUGAGAGGUUUAACCUAUUGGAAGGGCCCUGCUCUGGGGCAGCCAGCUCCUGCUGUCCUUCAUUACACACCUGUUCUAGACUUCCUUGGGAGUUUAUAGGGAUUGUUUUUAGGGCUUUUACAGUGAUUUUUAGAAAGCUGACUUCUGAGCCAGUGCUGUAGCUUAAUGAGCUCCAGCUAAUGUGAAGACUAAACUCCUGCUUGGCAGAUGGCUGCCCCAACCACUGUUUGCAACUACCUAGCAACUGGGAGCGUUGCCAUACUGACACGCUGAGCCCGGUGAAGGGAAAAGAAAUCAGGGGUUUAAAAUGUUUGUAUCCUGCCUAAUAAACACUGUUUGUUUUGUAAUAAACGCUUUGUGGAUGGA
This is an RNA transcript of Gopherus evgoodei (Goodes thornscrub tortoise), 2390 nucleotides long. It is a transcript of the gene named inactive serine/threonine-protein kinase VRK3-like, with no coding region annotated. NCBI's taxonomy places the organism in Eukaryota, Metazoa, Chordata, Testudines, Testudinidae. The record is from RefSeq and is a predicted model, not a curated record. The transcript has 14 exons.